AUUGAACGCUGGCGGCAGGCCUAAUACAUGCAAGUCGAACGGUAACAUGAAAAAAGCUUGCUUUUUUUGAUGACGAGUGGCGGACGGGUGAGUAAGGUUUGGGAAACUGCCUGAUAGAGGGGGGACAACAGUUGGAAACGACUGCUAAUACCGCAUAAUGUCUAACCGAGGCAUCUCGGAUAGACCAAAGGAGCAAUCCGCUGUAAGAUGGACUCGCGUCCAAUUAGAUAGUUGGUGGGUAACGGCCCACAAGGCGACGAUCAGUAGCCGGACUGAGAGGUUGACCGGCCACAGUUGGGACUGAGA
Molecule: ribosomal RNA, 306 nt
Filed under: uncultured bacterium
Lineage: Bacteria
Description: partial 16S ribosomal RNA
Rfam family: Bacterial small subunit ribosomal RNA
Source: RNAcentral